Mycena rebaudengoi is the source of this 102-nucleotide non-coding RNA. NCBI's taxonomy places the organism in Eukaryota, Fungi, Basidiomycota, Agaricomycetes, Agaricales, Mycenaceae. The record is from the annotation of a GenBank genome assembly.
UUGGAUGUGGUGUACGGUGCAUGUCGGCUUCUCAUGGAAUAUUGAUUCCCUGCGCCUUUAUAAAUUCAAGCUGAAGGCCGGGUUCGACUCCCCGCAUCCGAA